CUAUUGCGUGAAUCAGGACAUUUUAAUCCAACAUCGAGGUCACAAGCUCGUUUUGUCGAUACGUACUCGCUAAAACAGAAUAACGCUGUUAUCCCUGAAGUAACUUAUUCUUCUUUANAAAGUUUCUGAUAUCUANAGAAUAAUGUCCACAUAGUAAAAAUAAGAUUAUUUUANCAACGGCCCCANUAAAUANCCCUCGNCUUGUUUAAAAAAAAAUGAGAUAUAAAGUUUUAUAGGGUCUUCUUGUCUUUAAUAAUCAUUUUAGCCUUCUUACUAAAAAGUCAACUUCAUCACNAUNNAUCANUAUAANACACUANCACUUAAUCCGACCNUUCAUNCUAN
Molecule: ribosomal RNA, 342 nt
Filed under: Mesobuthus eupeus (lesser Asian scorpion)
Lineage: Eukaryota; Metazoa; Arthropoda; Arachnida; Scorpiones; Buthidae
Description: partial 16S ribosomal RNA
Source: RNAcentral